GGCGAGUAAUCUCUGGAGGUCCAGGGCGCUCUUUGCUACAGAGUUGGCGGGUGAAAGCCCGUGGGUUUCGAGUACUCUGCUCGCCG
RNAcentral lists this transfer RNA (86 nucleotides) under Microbacterium phage Big4. RNAcentral describes it as "tRNA-Ser". Lineage: Duplodnaviria; Heunggongvirae; Uroviricota; Caudoviricetes. The record is from RNAcentral.